This 1052-nucleotide ribosomal RNA is filed under the name Chondracanthus zei. Its description in RNAcentral is "eukaryotic LSU rRNA". It matches the Rfam family "Eukaryotic large subunit ribosomal RNA", at positions 64 to 941 of the family's 3401-position model. The record is from RNAcentral. Lineage: Eukaryota; Metazoa; Arthropoda; Copepoda; Poecilostomatoida; Chondracanthidae.
ACAACUUGGAUGCCCGAAGUAAUGGCGAAUAAAAUGGGCAAAGCUCAGCACCCAACUGCCGACUGUUUUAGUCGUGUAGAAUGUAGUGUUUGGAAGAGUCGCGUCACGUGCAGUUUGUGAGUUUAAGUUCAUCUUGACUGGGGCCAUUAUCCGUAGAGGGUGAUAGGCCCGUUAAACCGCAAAUUUUGCGUGCUGGCAAAUCCCUAGAGUCGAGUUGCUUGGGAGUGCAGCUCAAAGAGCGUGGUAGACUCCACGUAAAGCUAAAUAUAACCCUGAGACCGAUAGCGAACAAGUACCGUGAGGGAAAGUUGAAAAGAACUUUGAAGAGAGAGUUCAAUAGUACGUGAAACUGUGUAGUGGUAAACGGAGGGGUUUCUCGAAGUUAUGCAUUGGAAACUCAAGCUAUAGUUGCUUUAGUUUUAUUCUCUGCUGGUGAUUUGUCAAAAGCUCCGCGAGAUGACUGAAUGUCGACUAUUGCUGCAUUUUUUCAAUGCUUUACGCAAUGAACGGCUAGCCGCGUUCUAAAAGUUUGAGUAAAGUUUGUUUGUUUUUGUUUUGUUUUUCGUUCCUCUUGUAGGGGUGUUUGCAAAAAUUAAUUAACAAGUCUCUUUCUUAGAGCUGCGUGGCUGGCUGGUAUUAGAGUAGUCUCGUUAUAACGAGCGAGUAAGUGUUCUUGCUAUCGCGGACUGCAUAUCUAUUGCGAGUAGGUCGGUGGCCCCUCCGACCCGUCUUGAAACACGGACCAAGGAGUCUAACAUGUGUGCGAGUCAUUGGGUGAAUUAAACUCAAAGGCGUAGUGAAAGCAAAGUACCUUUAUUGGUACGAGGGGCGAUUUCAAAGCAAAUCUUAGUUUGGAUGAAUGCAGCCCUGGCGCUUCAAAUUGACAUCGUUUUCUUUUGGAGCAGCAAGAGCAGACACGUUGGGACCCGAAAGAUGGUGAACUAUGCCUGGCCAGGUUGAAGUCAGGGGAAACCCUGAUGGAGGACCGUAGCGAUUCUGACGUGCAAAUCGAUCGUCGGAGCUGGGUAUAGGGGCGAAAGACUAAUCAACCC